GGAUGUUCUUAUCCCAAGCAGAAAAGCCUGGUCGUAUUGAGCACAACUUUUUGGAACUUUUGGUCCUCAGUGCUCUUCAAUUUUGUACUUGUUUUGGCUUUCGAACUUUUUUCACUUAAGCGUCACUGGUUAGUCUUGUGUGGACGAAACUCGCGUCUGGCGUAUUAAAUUUUAAACCUGGUACCUUUUGUUAGCUAUUAUUCGUGUUUUUUCGUCCUAUAUGUUCUCCUAUUUAUUUGUAUUGUAGUGCUGUCAUGUUAUGUUGUCAUUUUAAUGUUGUAUUUAACAUUGCCAUAAAAGCUGGAGGUUUGACAUACCACAAAACCAGGUUCAACCCACCAUUGUCUUUCUUAAAAUGUCCUGUACCAUGUAAGGAAAAUGGCCAUUGUUUUGUUAUAGUUUGUUUCUGUGUGUGUUACAUUUUAAUGGUGUGGUUCUGUUGUGUCGUAGUUCUCCUCUUUUAUUUGAAGCGUUUCCCUCAGUUUUAGUGUUUGUAACCCGGAUUUUUCUCAAUAGAUUUUUGAAUUUCAAACAGCGGUAUACUAUUAUUGCCUUUAUUUAUACACUAGAAAAAAAGGGACUCUUGUAAACUUCUGAUUAAAAAUAUUAGAUACAUUGAAUAUUAUUUAGUGUUUGCAAUCGUACAAAUAUUUUUUAUCAUUCCUAUCAAGUAAAUUUUAAGCUGCCGUUUUCAGGUUUUGUCCUGACAUAAAUGUAUUUUAUUUGUCUUUUCCCCAUUAUAUUCCAAAUAUAAGAUACUUGCAACAAUAAACAAUAAUGUGUUCCCCGGGGUACUUCUCGUUAACUUUGAAUAUAGCUAGCUGUAUUCGCUUUUGUUACAUGCACCAAGCGUAGAUUUUUUAUAGGGUGUACCUGCAUGUGCAGGCGUUUGUCUUUUACCAUACAAUCUUAAGAUGAAGAUAUUUUACAGUUUUGAGGUUGUUUGCCGGAUUUGUUUACAAUAUCAAAAUAUCCUCUACUGCUAUCCGUAUAUUAAAUUUUAGGUAGUAGUGCAAUUCCAAAUUGACAUUGUGUAUCAAAUUUCUAACACUGUAAUGGAACGCAUGUGAUGUUAAUAGAUAUAGGAAGAUGUGGUGUGAGUCAUAUAUGACUUUGUAAAAAAAAAUAAUGAAUAAAUGAUAUAAGCAAGC
Molecule: long non-coding RNA, 1151 nt
Filed under: Mytilus galloprovincialis (Mediterranean mussel)
Lineage: Eukaryota; Metazoa; Mollusca; Bivalvia; Mytilida; Mytilidae
Source: RNAcentral